Sphaerobolus stellatus SS14 is the source of this 94-nucleotide non-coding RNA. Lineage: Eukaryota; Fungi; Basidiomycota; Agaricomycetes; Geastrales; Sphaerobolaceae. The record is from the annotation of a GenBank genome assembly.
GACGUGGUGGUCUAGAGGUAUGAUUCCUUCUUAGGGGUUUAUUGUUAAAUGAAUCAUGUGGGGGAGGUCCUGGGUUCAAUUCCCGGCCAGGCCC